GUUUGAUGCCGGGCAGCUGCAUUAUAAAUACGUCUGAGGCGACUUAACCAUCUACCACCAAAAUGCAUAAAUUAUUCCGCGUGGUAGUUACGAUCGUUGUGAUUAUUAGUUACGUUCCAUUGGAAGCACUCGCUGAUGGUGAACUACAAGAAAUGGCCGAUAUUGUGAAAAAUAUGGAUACCACCCGUCUCUGUGACCGUGAUUGCAAACCAGUGGUACGGGUUUCUGGCACUCACCUGACUGUUUCUUACGAAACACAAUUUACUUACGGUGAAGAUACUGACGCCCUGUGCAAAUGCAUGUACGAUUACAUGAAGGCUGCAGUAGGUGACGCUAAGUCAGACUGCAAGGUAACAAGUACUCAGCUUGCAAUCGUGUUUAAUGGAGAAUACGAUCCACAUAAAACACCAUUACCGUCGCUGACAACAUUGGCGAGUGUGUUGUCACACUAUGAUAAGCCA
Long non-coding RNA from Bradysia coprophila, 461 nucleotides. The record is from RefSeq and is a predicted model, not a curated record. NCBI's taxonomy places the organism in Eukaryota, Metazoa, Arthropoda, Insecta, Diptera, Sciaridae.